This 499-nucleotide ribosomal RNA is filed under the name uncultured Rhodococcus sp. Its description in RNAcentral is "bacterial SSU rRNA". It matches the Rfam family "Bacterial small subunit ribosomal RNA", at positions 406 to 916 of the family's 1533-position model. The record is from RNAcentral. Lineage: Bacteria; Bacillati; Actinomycetota; Actinomycetes; Mycobacteriales; Nocardiaceae.
GGAUGACGGCCUUCGGGUUGUAAACCUCCUUCAGCAGGGACGAAGCGCAAGUGACGGUACCUGCAGAAGAAGCACCGGCUAACUACGUGCCAGCAGCCGCGGUAAUACGUAGGGUGCAAGCGUUGUCCGGAAUUACUGGGCGUAAAGAGUUCGUAGGCGGUUUGUCGCGUCGUUUGUGAAAACCAGCAGCUCAACUGCUGGCUUGCAGGCGAUACGGGCAGACUUGAGUACUGCAGGGGAGACUGGAAUUCCUGGUGUAGCGGUGAAAUGCGCAGAUAUCAGGAGGAACACCGGUGGCGAAGGCGGGUCUCUGGGCAGUAACUGACGCUGAGGAACGAAAGCGUGGGUAGCGAACAGGAUUAGAUACCCUGGUAGUCCACGCCGUAAACGGUGGGCGCUAGGUGUGGGUUCCUUCCACGGAAUCCGUGCCGUAGCUAACGCAUUAAGCGCCCCGCCUGGGGAGUACGGCCGCAAGGCUAAAACUCAAAGGAAUUGACGG